RNAcentral lists this non-coding RNA (169 nucleotides) under Clostridium saccharobutylicum. RNAcentral describes it as "Lysine sequence". It matches the Rfam family "Lysine riboswitch aptamer". From Rfam's summary of the family: Riboswitches are metabolite binding domains within certain messenger RNAs that serve as precision sensors for their corresponding targets. The record is from RNAcentral. RNAcentral also lists the same sequence under 1 other name. Lineage: Bacteria; Bacillati; Bacillota; Clostridia; Eubacteriales; Clostridiaceae.
ACCUGGGGUAGAGGUGCUGUAAUAAAGAGUAAUCAUAAGGAGUUGGCAGACGAUGAUUUAUGUUAAAAGGGAUUAUGGCCGAAGGAAUAAGUUAUUUGCAGUGAUUUAUUUCUGGGUAUUCAUAUAAUAUAUGGAUAACUGUCACGAAAAGUGUUGAGCUACAAGGUAC